GGAGAGAUGAUAUCAGAUGGUUUACCGUUGCAUCAAGUAUAAGACGAGUCGGCUCGCAGCUGCAAGGACAGUGCAGGGAUAGCACAGUGGAGUUUAGUGGCCCUAACAGUUUUCUGGUGUCAGAAGUGGGAUGGCUGGAAAUCCAGAGGUAAGUAGAAUCACUGUCUGAACUGACGGUGUUUUCUCUUACCUUUGGCUCUUUCCGAUUGACCGAUUCCUUAGUAAGUGUCUCAUGUAUGGUUGAGACUGUCUCAUGUAUAGUUGAGACAAGGGCAUGAUUACCAGUUUAAAUAAGUGUCUCAUGUAUGGUUGAGACUGUCUCAUGUAUGGUUGAGACAAGGGCAUGAUUAGCAGCUUAAAGUGUCUCAUGUAUGGUUGAGACUGUCUCAUGUAUGGUUGAGACGGGUUAUAGAGAUCCCAUGGUAGUAUAGUAAAAUAGGGAUACUCAGGUUGUGCACGGGAACCAUUUCUUACUGACUGAUUCAUCUUUCCAUGCGUAUUAUUGUCUUGUCUUGUUUGUGUAUUUGUGUAUUUGUGUUUUAAAAUAUAUCUGUGAAUAGUUGCAGCGUUAAGAGUGAUCACGAGUUGCUAACGGGUAUUGUUGGGACCUUGAUCUCAGUUCAGCCCUGGCUUCUCUGUUUCGUUGCAAUCGUACAUGACACGUUCUUUGAUAAGAAUUUAAGACAUUGGUUACAGCACCUGCGCUUGGUUUACCUAAUUAUGCUAAACCUUUUCAUUUGUAUGUCAAGGACACCUGUAAAACCAUGGCUGCGGUCUGUGCUCAAGAAUCUGGGGGAAGUUUUCGUCCUGUGGCCUAUUUUUCCAAAGUAAUGCCGCUUCCGGUACAGGGGAUGCCGGCGUGUCUCAGA
Molecule: long non-coding RNA, 869 nt
Organism: Xenopus laevis (African clawed frog)
Lineage: Eukaryota; Metazoa; Chordata; Amphibia; Anura; Pipidae
Exons: 2
Source: RefSeq, a predicted model, not a curated record